This 253-nucleotide ribosomal RNA is filed under the name uncultured bacterium. RNAcentral describes it as "partial 16S ribosomal RNA". It matches the Rfam family "Bacterial small subunit ribosomal RNA", at positions 524 to 776 of the family's 1533-position model. The record is from RNAcentral.
UACGUAGGUGGCAAGCGUUAUCCGGAUUUAUUGGGCGUAAAGGGAACGCAGGCGGUCUUUUAAGUCUGAUGUGAAAGCCUUCGGCUUAACCGGAGUAGUGCAUUGGAAACUGGGAGACUUGAGUGCAGAAGAGGAGAGUGGAACUCCAUGUGUAGCGGUGAAAUGCGUAGAUAUAUGGAAGAACACCAGUGGCGAAGGCGGAUUGCUGGACAGUAACUGACGCUGAGGCGCGAAAGCGUGGGGAGCAAACAGG